AAAUUGAAGAGUUUGAUCAUGGCUCAGAUUGAACGCUGGCGGCAGGCCUAACACAUGCAAGUCGAGCGGUAGCACAGAGAGCUUGCUCUCGGGUGACGAGCGGCGGACGGGUGAGUAAUGUCUGGGAAACUGCCUGAUGGAGGGGGAUAACUACUGGAAACGGUAGCUAAUACCGCAUAACGUCGCAAGACCAAAGUGGGGGACCUUCGGGCCUCAUGCCAUCAGAUGUGCCCAGAUGGGAUUAGCUAGUAGGUGGGGUAAUGGCUCACCUAGGCGACGAUCCCUAGCUGGUCUGAGAGGAUGACCAGCCACACUGGAACUGAGACACGGUCCAGACUCCUACGGGAGGCAGCAGUGGGGAAUAUUGCACAAUGGGCGCAAGCCUGAUGCAGCCAUGCCGCGUGUGUGAAGAAGGCCUUCGGGUUGUAAAGCACUUUCAGCGGGGAGGAAGGCGUUAAGGUUAAUAACCUUGGCGAUUGACGUUACCCGCAGAAGAAGCACCGGCUAACUCCGUGCCAGCAGCCGCGGUAAUACGGAGGGUGCAAGCGUUAAUCGGAAUUACUGGGCGUAAAGCGCACGCAGGCGGUCUGUCAAGUCGGAUGUGAAAUCCCCGGGCUCAACCUGGGAACUGCAUUCGAAACUGGCAGGCUAGAGUCUUGUAGAGGGGGGUAGAAUUCCAGGUGUAGCGGUGAAAUGCGUAGAGAUCUGGAGGAAUACCGGUGGCGAAGGCGGCCCCCUGGACAAAGACUGACGCUCAGGUGCGAAAGCGUGGGGAGCAAACAGGAUUAGAUACCCUGGUAGUCCACGCCGUAAACGAUGUCGAUUUGGAGGUUGUGCCCUUGAGGCGUGGCUUCCGGAGCUAACGCGUUAAAUCGACCGCCUGGGGAGUACGGCCGCAAGGUUAAAACUCAAAUGAAUUGACGGGGGCCCGCACAAGCGGUGGAGCAUGUGGUUUAAUUCGAUGCAACGCGAAGAACCUUACCUGGUCUUGACAUCCACAGAACUUUCCAGAGAUGGAUUGGUGCCUUCGGGAACUGUGAGACAGGUGCUGCAUGGCUGUCGUCAGCUCGUGUUGUGAAAUGUUGGGUUAAGUCCCGCAACGAGCGCAACCCUUAUCCUUUGUUGCCAGCGGUUAGGCCGGGAACUCAAAGGAGACUGCCAGUGAUAAACUGGAGGAAGGUGGGGAUGACGUCAAGUCAUCAUGGCCCUUACGACCAGGGCUACACACGUGCUACAAUGGCAUAUACAAAGAGAAGCGACCUCGCGAGAGCAAGCGGACCUCAUAAAGUAUGUCGUAGUCCGGAUUGGAGUCUGCAACUCGACUCCAUGAAGUCGGAAUCGCUAGUAAUCGUAGAUCAGAAUGCUACGGUGAAUACGUUCCCGGGCCUUGUACACACCGCCCGUCACACCAUGGGAGUGGGUUGCAAAAGAAGUAGGUAGCUUAACCUUCGGGAGGGCGCUUACCACUUUGUGAUUCAUGACUGGGGUGAAGUCGUAACAAGGUAACCGUAGGGGAACCUGCGGUUGGAUCACCUCCUUACCUUAAAGAA
This 1550-nucleotide ribosomal RNA is filed under the name Klebsiella pneumoniae. Its description in RNAcentral is "bacterial SSU rRNA". It matches the Rfam family "Bacterial small subunit ribosomal RNA". The record is from RNAcentral. Lineage: Bacteria; Pseudomonadati; Pseudomonadota; Gammaproteobacteria; Enterobacterales; Enterobacteriaceae. RNAcentral also lists the same sequence under 1 other name.